Long non-coding RNA from Syngnathus acus (greater pipefish), 2512 nucleotides. RefSeq lists it as uncharacterized. The record is from RefSeq and is a predicted model, not a curated record. NCBI's taxonomy places the organism in Eukaryota, Metazoa, Chordata, Actinopteri, Syngnathiformes, Syngnathidae. The transcript is spliced from 5 exons.
UCUGUGGGCUUUUUUAUAUGCAGCCGAAUAUUGUUUGUGUAAGUCAUAAUAUUUACGCAGGAGACGCCCGGGGAAUGAAGUUGAACCUCUGCCGCGCUGUGAGCGCAGAACCUCGGGUUCAGACCACGGAACGACUCCAGACAUGCUGGGACCGUCAUUUCACAAGUAAAAGCGCUCGGAUGCCAUUCCACAAUGGGUCUGUCCUACACAGCACAUGGGAGCCAGUCAACGGCGCCCCACCCUGCGGCUGAGAAGGCAGGGCCGGUCCGUCACGAUAUCCUGAUGCUGUCUGAGCCGUCAAUAAUAGGAGAUGAGACAUAAACCACAUUGGCGAGGGCAUGAGCAGAGGCUUGGUGGGCCGCCGUUGCAGGCUGGAGUGGGCAGGCAUGUGGCUUUGACCACAGGAAGCUGUGAAUUCUUUGGAGAAUGGAAGAUGUCUUACAGGGAUACAUACUAGAGUCACGCAAGGAAGGAAAUCAGCCACGGUCUGCUACAAGUGGCGAGGUCCGAGAGAGAAUAGCAGCAAGCCCGUCAGAGGCGCACCUCCAGAACCAGCUGGAUUUUUGAGGACUUAAUUUACCUGAGCGCUGACGUAAACUCAAAGUAAACAGAAAACUGCAAACUUUGCAGCACAAAUGAAUCCUAUUCAAUCCCCACUUUUUCUUUCAGCACAAGGAAACUGCCUGGCAAAACAUAACCCAAAUUGGGUGAAAUCACAAACCCAACGCUGGGUUGAAAAGAGACAGAGCCAAUGCUGGGUUAUUUAUACAAGUUGGCAAGUCGACCCAGCGCAACGUGGUUAAGAUUUUGAUCCAAUAAAAGGUGUGGACUCUAUAUCGUGGGCGUUUGGGAAAAACAGACAGCUGGUCCGACAGACAACCACAUGGUUUCGUUUGACGUCUGCUAAUUCCAGGGAAUCAAUCCUAAAUGACACCUAUGGGAUACACAGGGUGGAUUUGCCUCUGAUGUCGAUUGUGGUGGUUUGCAGAUGAAAGACAGUCAAAUAAAUAAAGCCGCGGCAAGCCGGCAGAACUCUUCUGUCCACGCGGCCCAACCAUAAUGGGAUACAUACUGACACCCUGAGCUGGAGUCCUGCUCACUUUGAGAAACAUGUCUCUUGUGGAAGAAAGGAGCAAGUUACGUACUGUAAUGAGCGGACUAAUUAUCAGGAAGCGAUUCUGUUCCUCGUCACGCUCGGCCGAUGCUGUUUUAAUCCCCCAAACACUUUGCUGAAUUAAACUCAGCUGUAUCAAAUAGCCAUUUAAACUCCUCCAAUCAAUCUUUUCAUCAGCUUUUGUGUCUGCGUAUUGCCUACAGUAAGAAUAGUAAUGGUAAGACGAUCCCGGCUUGUUUCAUCCUGGCUGAGAUCACGCAUGUCUCUCCUAAAGUCCGCUGCUGUUCCCCACAGCGCCGCUACAAGAUUGUGACGCAUAACAAUGCAGUAGAGAUGCUGAAAAGCAUAUUGUGGCAUCAAACCCAACAAUUAGAUUGUGUCUCGUCCCCGUGAAGAAAAUUAACGACUAUUUGUAAGUGCACACGAUGCAUGUAACAUCGGGGCAUUAUCAACGUUGGUGCCACGGAGGUGAUUUAUUUCGAUUGUGGUUGACUCCCGUCUGAUGCUCUUCAACAAAUCACAGCCUGAGGUCUGGCUAGACCAACAGCACACUUUGUCUGCGUCUCCCCCACAUGACCCCCGCGUAGAUGUUGAGUGGAGCCAGUGAAGGACAUCAUUCAGGCGUUGUGUAUACAUGCAAAUAGCUCUACCUGGACGAUGCAUAUUUGUAUGUACAUUUGUACAUUUUUUACCUACAGUUGUGUGUUUUUGUGAUAAUUUAGUCGACCGUGGCCACCAGCAGUGCCGCCUGACCCAGGGGCUCCGGGUGAUAAGACCUCCAUAACUCUACUUUAUCCCCCCUGCUCAUUAUCUAGCUCCAUCCCAGAUCUGCUUUGAGCCUUCAGGCCGUUUUGCAAGGCCAUCUUCCCCUCUUAGAUCCGCAGCGCUCUUUGGCCUGGAGAUUAGUUUGGAGACACACGGGCUCAGUUGAACUAACACCCAGACACUUGACAUCUUCUCUCUGUGGGAGAAAGGGUUAAACAUUUAAUUGGAGCUCACACUGACCAAGACGCGAUGAAUUCAAAGAUGUAAUAGGACGACAAGUGACUUAAUUUAAAAGUAAGAUAAAUAAUUGGCACUUUUUGGGUACAAUAUUCUUACGUCCUUAUCUCACCGUCAACUGAGUUUAUGUUAUUUCAGUUCAGGGGUCAAACUAUCACCUUGACAGACCACAUCAUUCUUUUAGUCUAAACGUCGUGUGAGGCCAAGUGGAGGCUGCAAGACUUUAGUUUUAGACAGGUAUCGGUUAUUUAGAAAAGCGUAAUUUAUUUAUGUAUUUAUGUUUAUUUUCUUUGUAUCAUUUAAUGUGAUUCAUGGUCAACUUCAUUAUGUAGCGCACUUUGUUGCAGCUGUGGUUGUUGUAUAAAUGCUCUAUGAAUAAAGUUGUGUUGAGUUAAA